This 74-nucleotide transfer RNA is filed under the name Spirochaetia bacterium. Its description in RNAcentral is "tRNA-Val". It matches the Rfam family "tRNA". From Rfam's summary of the family: Transfer RNA (tRNA) molecules are approximately 80 nucleotides in length. Lineage: Bacteria; Pseudomonadati; Spirochaetota; Spirochaetia. The record is from RNAcentral.
GGGUGCAUAGCUCAGCUGGUUAGAGCGCCACGUUUACACCGUGGAUGUCAGAGGUUCGAAUCCUCUUGCGCCCA